RNAcentral lists this ribosomal RNA (233 nucleotides) under uncultured bacterium. RNAcentral's name for it is "partial 16S ribosomal RNA". It matches the Rfam family "Bacterial small subunit ribosomal RNA", at positions 89 to 334 of the family's 1533-position model. The record is from RNAcentral.
AGUAAAGUGGCGUACGGGUGAGUAACACGUGGAUCAUCUACCUCUUGGUGGGGGAAUAAACCCUGGGAAACCGGGGCUAAUACCGCAUAAGCCUGCAAAGGGAAAGCAGCAAUGCGCCGAGAGAGGAGUCCGCGGCCGAUUAGCUAGUUGGCGGGGUAAUGGCCCACCAAGGCGAAGAUCGGUAGCCGGCCUGAGAGGGCACACGGCCACACUGGCACUGAAACACGGGCCAG